UAGUGAACCAGUACCGUGAGGGAAAGGCGAAAAGAACCCCGGCGAGGGGAGUGAAAAAGAACCUGAAACCGUGUACGUACAAGCAGUGGGAGCACAGGUUUACCUGUGUGACUGCGUACCUUUUGUAUAAUGGGUCAGCGACUUAUAUUCUGUAGCAAGGUUAACCGUAUAGGGGAGCCGCAGGGAAACCGAGUCUUAACCGGGCGUUAAGUUGCAGGGUAUAGACCCGAAACCCGGUGAUCUAGCCAUGGGCAGGUUGAAGGUUGGGUAACACUAACUGGAGGACCGAACCGACUAAUGUUGAAAAAUUAGCGGAUGACCUGUGGCUGGGGGUGAAAGGCCAAUCAAACCGGGAGAUAGCUGGUUCUCCCCGAAAGCUAUUUAGGUAGCGCCUCGUGAAUUCAUCUCCGGGGGUAGAGCACUGUUUCGGCUAGGGGGCCAUCCCGGCUUACCAACCCGAUGCAAACUGCGAAUACCGGAGAAUGUUAUCACGGGAGACACACGGCGGGUGCUAACGUCCGUCGUGAAGAGGGAAACAACCCAGACCGCCAGCUAAGGUCCCAAAGUCAUGGUUAAGUGGGAAACGAUGUGGGAAGGCCCAGACAGCCAGGAUGUUGGCUUAGAAGCAGCCAUCAUUUAAAGAAAGCGUAAUAGCUCACUGGUCGAGUCGGCCUGCGCGGAAGAUGUAACGGGGCUAAACCAU
This 703-nucleotide ribosomal RNA is filed under the name Salmonella enterica subsp. enterica serovar Agona. RNAcentral describes it as "partial 23S ribosomal RNA". It matches the Rfam family "Bacterial large subunit ribosomal RNA", at positions 488 to 1190 of the family's 2925-position model. Lineage: Bacteria; Pseudomonadati; Pseudomonadota; Gammaproteobacteria; Enterobacterales; Enterobacteriaceae. The record is from RNAcentral.